UACGUAGGUGGCAAGCGUUGUCCGGAUUUACUGGGCGUAAAGAGCGCGCAGGCGGUCGUCCAAGUCGCGUGUGAAAGCCCCCGGCUCAACUGGGGAGGGUCACGCGAUACUGGUCGACUCGAGGGCAGGAGAGGGUAGUGGAAUUCCCGGUGUAGUGGUGAAAUGCGUAGAUAUCGGGAGGAACACCAGUGGCGAAGGCGACUACCUGGCCUGUUCUUGACGCUGAGGCGCGAAAGCUAGGGGAGCAAACGGG
RNAcentral lists this ribosomal RNA (253 nucleotides) under uncultured bacterium. RNAcentral describes it as "partial 16S ribosomal RNA". It matches the Rfam family "Bacterial small subunit ribosomal RNA", at positions 524 to 776 of the family's 1533-position model. The record is from RNAcentral.